AUACGUAGGGGGCGAGCGUUGUCCGGAAUGAUCGGGCGUAAAGGGCGCGUAGGUGGCGCGGUAAGUCUGGAGUGAAAGUCCUGCUUUCAAGGUGGGAAUUGCUUUGGAUACUGCCGCGCUUGAGUGCAGGAGAGGUUAUCGGAAUUCCCGGUGUAGCGGUGAAAUGCGUAGAGAUCGGGAGGAACACCAGUGGCGAAGGCGGGUAACUGGACUGCAACUGACGCUGAGGCGCGAAAGUGUGGGGAGCGAACAGGAUUAGAUACCCUGGUAGUCCACGCGGUAAACGAUGAAUGCUAGGUGUUGCGAGUAUCGACCCCUGCAGUGCCGGAGUAAACACAUUAAGCAUUCCGCCUGGGGAGUACGGCCGCAAGGUUGAAACUCAAAGGAAUUGACGGGG
This 397-nucleotide ribosomal RNA is filed under the name uncultured bacterium. Its description in RNAcentral is "partial 16S ribosomal RNA". It matches the Rfam family "Bacterial small subunit ribosomal RNA", at positions 523 to 918 of the family's 1533-position model. The record is from RNAcentral.